This is a non-coding RNA of Hordeum vulgare subsp. vulgare (domesticated barley), 135 nucleotides long. The record is from Rfam. Lineage: Eukaryota; Viridiplantae; Streptophyta; Magnoliopsida; Poales; Poaceae.
CUUAUACUCCCUCUGUCCUAAAAUUCUUGUUUUAGGUUUGUCUAAAAUGAAUGUAUCUAAAUACUAAAACGUGACUAGAUACAAUUAUAUCUAGACAAAUCUAAGAGAAUAAUUUUAGGACAGAGGGAAUAUUUA